UGCGGAAGAGGGAAGAACUAAAAGAAGCAAUAGAGAACCUGAGGCAGUCCUGGUUGAGGGAUGGAGUAGAUAACCCUAGGUCGGAGGGAGCAGGGCCUCAUUAGAGCUCUUUUGUCUUUAUGUCUUAUCAUGUAGUUACUUCCUUUUUGUCGUUUUGUCCUUCUUUCCUUGGCCGUCCUGGCCUUGUAGUGUGUAUAUCGG
RNAcentral lists this long non-coding RNA (201 nucleotides) under Elaeis guineensis (African oil palm). RNAcentral describes it as "long non-coding RNA (EGUI_LNC072379)". The record is from RNAcentral. Lineage: Eukaryota; Viridiplantae; Streptophyta; Magnoliopsida; Arecales; Arecaceae.